This 26-nucleotide small RNA is filed under the name Bombyx mori (domestic silkworm). RNAcentral's name for it is "piRNA piR-bmo-1936439". Lineage: Eukaryota; Metazoa; Arthropoda; Insecta; Lepidoptera; Bombycidae. The record is from RNAcentral.
UAGUUCAAUGGAAUUGCCGCAGUAUU